This 21-nucleotide ribosomal RNA is filed under the name Cyamopsis tetragonoloba (guar). Its description in RNAcentral is "partial 18S ribosomal RNA". The record is from RNAcentral. Lineage: Eukaryota; Viridiplantae; Streptophyta; Magnoliopsida; Fabales; Fabaceae.
AGGUGAACAUGCGGAAGGAUC